RNAcentral lists this ribosomal RNA (253 nucleotides) under uncultured bacterium. RNAcentral describes it as "partial 16S ribosomal RNA". It matches the Rfam family "Bacterial small subunit ribosomal RNA", at positions 524 to 776 of the family's 1533-position model. The record is from RNAcentral. RNAcentral also lists the same sequence under 1 other name.
UACGGAGGGUGCAAGCAUUAAUCGGAUUUAUUGGGCGUAAAGGGCGCGUAGGCGGUCUUGCAAGUCAGAUGUGAAAUUUCGGGGCUCAACCCCGGAGCUGCAUUUGAAACUACAGGACUAGAGGGUAGUCGGAGAAAACGGAAUUCCACAAGUAGCGGUGAAAUGCGUAGAUAUGUGGAAGAACACCGGUGGCGAAGGCGGUUUUCUAGAUUAUUCCUGACGCUAAAGCGCGAAAGCAAGGGGAUCAAACAGG